AUUGAACGCUGGCGGCAGGCCUAACACAUGCAAGUCGAGCGGAGAUGAGGUGCUUGCACCUUAUCUUAGCGGCGGACGGGUGAGUAAUGCUUAGGAAUCUGCCUAUUAGUGGGGGACAACAUUCCGAAAGGAAUGCUAAUACCGCAUACGUCCUACGGGAGAAAGCAGGGGAUCUUCGGACCUUGCGCUAAUAGAUGAGCCUAAGUCGGAUUAGCUAGUUGGUGGGGUAAAGGCCUACCAAGGCGACGAUCUGUAGCGGGUCUGAGAGGAUGAUCCGCCACACUGGGACUGAGACACGGCCCAGACUCCUACGGGAGGCAGCAGUGGGGAAUAUUGGACAAUGGGGGGAACCCUGAUCCAGCCAUGCCGCGUGUGUGAAGAAGGCCUUAUGGUUGUAAAGCACUUUAAGCGAGGAGGAGGCUACUGAGACUAAUACUCUUUGAUAGUGGACGUUACUCGCAGAAUAAGCACCGGCUAACUCUGUGCCAGCCGCCGCGGUAA
This 501-nucleotide ribosomal RNA is filed under the name uncultured bacterium. RNAcentral's name for it is "partial 16S ribosomal RNA". It matches the Rfam family "Bacterial small subunit ribosomal RNA", at positions 30 to 523 of the family's 1533-position model. The record is from RNAcentral.